RNAcentral lists this long non-coding RNA (274 nucleotides) under Coffea arabica (coffee). Its description in RNAcentral is "long non-coding RNA (CARA_LNC002967)". The record is from RNAcentral. Lineage: Eukaryota; Viridiplantae; Streptophyta; Magnoliopsida; Gentianales; Rubiaceae.
CAUUUUUGUAUGUUUUUUUUUUCCAGAUUUUUGCACUAGAUCUUGCUAAGUUUCCUGCUUGUUUGAAUGAUGGUGACUAUGAAGUGGGUUGUCUAGUCUGAAUUUGUGAUGUUGGUUUGGAAAUAUCUAAUCAAAGUUGUGCUCAAGAAAUCUGGUCUUGAGGGAAAUGUGCAGCAGAUUUCUUGUUUCGGUUGCUAGAGCAUAUGAAAAUUGCAGAAGUGAAGUUCUUCGUAGCUUGCAUGAAUUGCAUGAAAUAACUUUCGGAAAUUGCCUC